GUCUGUGGCUCUACCACCCUGAACAUGCCUUGUCUCCUCUAAUCUUGGAAGUUAAGCAGAGUUAGGCCUGGUUAGUACUUGAAUGGGAGACUGCCUGGGAAUACCAGGUGCUGUUGGCU
Molecule: ribosomal RNA, 119 nt
Organism: Gorilla gorilla gorilla (western lowland gorilla)
Lineage: Eukaryota; Metazoa; Chordata; Mammalia; Primates; Hominidae
Source: Ensembl